UACGUAGGGUGCGAGCGUUGUCCGGAAUUAUUGGGCGUAAAGAGCUCGUAGGCGGUCUGUUACGUCUGCUGUGAAAACCCGGGGCUCAACCCCGGGCCUGCAGUGGGUACGGGCAGACUAGAGUGUGGUAGGGGAGACUGGAAUUCCUGGUGUAGCGGUGAAAUGCGCAGAUAUCAGGAGGAACACCGAUGGCGAAGGCAGGUCUCUGGGCCACUACUGACGCUGAGAAGCGAAAGCAUGGGGAGCGAACAGG
This 253-nucleotide ribosomal RNA is filed under the name uncultured bacterium. RNAcentral describes it as "partial 16S ribosomal RNA". It matches the Rfam family "Bacterial small subunit ribosomal RNA", at positions 524 to 776 of the family's 1533-position model. The record is from RNAcentral.